RNAcentral lists this ribosomal RNA (853 nucleotides) under uncultured Gammaproteobacteria bacterium. Its description in RNAcentral is "bacterial SSU rRNA". It matches the Rfam family "Bacterial small subunit ribosomal RNA", at positions 39 to 887 of the family's 1533-position model. Lineage: Bacteria; Pseudomonadati; Pseudomonadota; Gammaproteobacteria. The record is from RNAcentral.
GCGGUAGGCUUAACACAUGCAAGUCGUGCGAGAAAGUAUCUUCGGAUAUGAGUAGAGCGGCGGACGGGUGAGUAACGCGUAGGAAUCUACCUAGUAGAAGGGGAUAGCCCGGGGAAACUCGGAUUAAUACCGUAUACCUCCUUUGGGAGAAAGAAGGCCUCUCUUUGAAGCUUUCGCUAUUAGAUGAGCCUGCGUAAGAUUAGCUUGUUGGUGAGGUAAAGGCUCACCAAGGCGACGAUCUUUAGCGGGUCUGAGAGGACGAUCCGCCACAUUGGGACUGAGACACGGCCCAGACUCCUACGGGAGGCAGCAGUGGGGAAUAUUGGACAAUGGGCGCAAGCCUGAUCCAGCCAUACCGCGUGUGUGAAGAAGGCCCUAGGGUUGUAAAGCACUUUAAGUUGGGAAGAAAAGUUAUUGGUUAAUACCCAAUGACCGUGACAUUACCUUCAGAAUAAGGACCGGCUAAUUCCGUGCCAGCAGCCGCGGUAAUACGGAAGGUCCAAGCGUUAAUCGGAAUUACUGGGCGUAAAGCGCGCGUAGGUGGUUUAUUAAGUUGGAUGUGAAAUCCCCGGGCUCAACCUGGGAACUGCAUCCAAAACUGAUUCACUAGAGUACGAUAGAGGGAGGUAGAAUUCACAGUGUAGCGGUGGAAUGCGUAGAUAUUGUGAAGAAUACCAAUGGCGAAGGCAGCCUCCUGGAUCUGUACUGACACUGAGGUGCGAAAGCGUGGGUAGCGAACAGGAUUAGAUACCCUGGUAGUCCACGCCGUAAACGAUGUCAACUAGCUGUUGGAAAACUAUGUUUUUCAGUGGCGCAGCUAACGUAGUAAGUUGACCGCCUGGGGAGUACGGCC